CAUUACCGAGUUUACAACUCCCAAACCCCUGUGAACAUACCUUACUGUUGCCUCGGCGGAUCAGCCCGCUCCCGGUAAAACGGGACGGCCCGCCAGAGGACCCCUAAACUCUGUUUCUAUAUGUAACUUCUGAGUAAAACCAUAAAUAAAUCAAAACUUUCAACAACGGAUCUCUUGGUUCUGGCAUCGAUGAAGAACGCAGCAAAAUGCGAUAAGUAAUGUGAAUUGCAGAAUUCAGUGAAUCAUCGAAUCUUUGAACGCACAUUGCGCCCGCCAGUAUUCUGGCGGGCAUGCCUGUUCGAGCGUCAUUUCAACCCUCAAGCCCUCGGGUUUGGUGUUGGGGAUCGGCGAGCCUUUCUGGCAAGCCGGCCCCGAAAUCUAGUGGCGGUCUCGCUGCAGCCUCCAUUGCGUAGUAGUAAAACCCUCGCAACUGGAACGCGGCGCGGCCAAGCCGUUAAACCCCCAACUUCUGAAUGUUGACCUCGGAUCAGGUAGGAAUACCCGCUGAACUUAAGCAUAUCAAUAA
Molecule: ribosomal RNA, 526 nt
Filed under: uncultured Fusarium
Lineage: Eukaryota; Fungi; Ascomycota; Sordariomycetes; Hypocreales; Nectriaceae
Description: eukaryotic LSU rRNA
Rfam family: 5.8S ribosomal RNA (bases 155-308)
Source: RNAcentral